Molecule: transfer RNA, 86 nt
Filed under: Saprospiraceae bacterium
Lineage: Bacteria; Pseudomonadati; Bacteroidota; Saprospiria; Saprospirales; Saprospiraceae
Description: tRNA-Leu
Rfam family: tRNA
About the family: Transfer RNA (tRNA) molecules are approximately 80 nucleotides in length. Their secondary structure includes four short double-helical elements and three loops (D, anti-codon, and T loops).
Source: RNAcentral
GCCCGGAUGGUGGAAUUGGUAGACACGCAGGACUUAAAAUCCUGUGGCCAGGAAUGGCCGUGCGGGUUCAAGUCCCGCCCCGGGUA